CCUACGGGUUGCAGCAGUAGGGAAUCUUCCGCAAUGGACGAAAGUCUGACGGAGCAACGCCGCGUGAGUGAUGAAGGUUUUCGGAUCGUAAAGCUCUGUUGCCAGGGAAGAACGUCCGGUAGAGUAACUGCUACCGGAGUGACGGUACCUGAGAAGAAAGCCCCGGCUAACUACGUGCCAGCAGCCGCGGUAAUACGUAGGGGGCAAGCGUUGUCCGGAAUUAUUGGGCGUAAAGCGCGCGCAGGCGGUCACUUAAGUCUGGUGUUUAAGGCCAAGGCUCAACCUUGGUUCGCACUGGAAACUGGGCGACUUGAGUGCAGAAGAGGAGAGUGGAAUUCCACGUGUAGCGGUGAAAUGCGUAGAUAUGUGGAGGAACACCAGUGGCGAAGGCGACUCUCUGGGCUGUAACUGACGCUGAGGCGCGAAAGCGUGGGGAGCAAACAGGAUUAGAUACCCUAGUAGUC
This 464-nucleotide ribosomal RNA is filed under the name uncultured bacterium. RNAcentral's name for it is "bacterial SSU rRNA". It matches the Rfam family "Bacterial small subunit ribosomal RNA", at positions 338 to 795 of the family's 1533-position model. The record is from RNAcentral.